Molecule: unclassified non-coding RNA, 207 nt
Filed under: fungal sp.
Lineage: Eukaryota; Fungi
Description: partial contains small subunit ribosomal RNA, internal transcribed spacer 1, and 5.8S ribosomal RNA
Rfam family: Eukaryotic small subunit ribosomal RNA (bases 1-46)
Source: RNAcentral
AAGUCGUAACAAGGUUUCCGUAGGUGAACCUGCGGAAGGAUCAUUAAUGAAUCGCAAGGACGCUCUUUAGGUCCGACCCUUCAUUUUCUCACACUGUGCACCCACUGUCUUUACACCUUUUUUAACACCAAGUCAUAAGAAUGUCAACAGUCUCUUAAUUGAGCAUCAAUUGUAAUAAAACUUUCGGCAACGGAUCUCUUGGCUCCC